CAGUAGCCGCGGUAAUACGUAGGUCCCGAGCGUUGUCCGGAUUUAUUGGGCGUAAAGGGAGCGCAGGCGGUUUAGUAAGUCUGAAGUUAAAGGCAUUGGCUCAACCAAUGUAUGCUUUGGAAACUGUUAGACUUGAGUGCAGAAGGGGAGAGUGGAAUUCCAUGUGUAGCGGUGAAAUGCGUAGAUAUAUGGAGGAACACCGGUGGCGAAAGCGGCUCUCUGGUCUGUCACUGACGCUGAGGCUCGAAAGCGUGGGUAGCGAGCAGGAUUAGAUACCCCAGUAGUCCCUGUCUCUUAUACA
RNAcentral lists this ribosomal RNA (301 nucleotides) under uncultured bacterium. RNAcentral's name for it is "partial 16S ribosomal RNA". It matches the Rfam family "Bacterial small subunit ribosomal RNA", at positions 509 to 808 of the family's 1533-position model. The record is from RNAcentral.